This is a non-coding RNA of Ictidomys tridecemlineatus (thirteen-lined ground squirrel), 70 nucleotides long. NCBI's taxonomy places the organism in Eukaryota, Metazoa, Chordata, Mammalia, Rodentia, Sciuridae. The record is from Rfam.
GGGGGUAUAGCUCAGUGGUAAAGUGUGUACUUAGCAUGUACAAGCCCUGGGUUUAAUCCCAGCACUAUCU